GCAGUUGGUAGCUCAGUGGUAGAGUGCAUGCUCUGUGUAUAUGACAUCCUGGGUUCAAAUCCCAGGUCGCUGUUGCA
RNAcentral lists this transfer RNA (77 nucleotides) under Dallia pectoralis (Alaska blackfish). RNAcentral describes it as "tRNA-OTHER". It matches the Rfam family "tRNA". From Rfam's summary of the family: Transfer RNA (tRNA) molecules are approximately 80 nucleotides in length. Lineage: Eukaryota; Metazoa; Chordata; Actinopteri; Esociformes; Umbridae. The record is from RNAcentral.